RNA transcript from Tribolium castaneum (red flour beetle), 691 nucleotides. RefSeq lists it as uncharacterized. The transcript is spliced from 3 exons. The record is from RefSeq and is a predicted model, not a curated record. Lineage: Eukaryota; Metazoa; Arthropoda; Insecta; Coleoptera; Tenebrionidae.
UUAAUUGACGUACAUUAUCCGCCAGAUGACGCAAAUUGAUGCAAUUUUGUGUAGCAAUCUGUUUAUUCCACCCAACAGCAGAACACCAUGACUUUGUUUUACUUGCUAUUUGGAUUUACUCUCAUACCGGUCCUUAUUUGUGACGAAGAACCAAUAACCGAAGAUUUGCAUGUACUAGACGAAACAAUAGCAAAAUAUGGCCCACUCCAAGACUACCAACAACUGGGUUUACCAGGGCCCGAAAUAGAAACUGACGAGAACAAAUUUUCGCACGCAAAUAAAUUCGAAUUUGAUGAAACGGAUAAUUAUAUUUUGAGGAUUCGUACAAUAACUCCCGACUUCAGUUACAAUGCACGUUAUGAAGAAUCCAUAAUGCAAAAAGAAAACGACAGUUUUGAACAGUUUCCGGUAAUUAAAGGCCAGUUUGUGGAACAUUUUCCCAGAGAAAGUGGAGGUUUUUACAUUCGUACUAUUGGUUACGUCCUCGACGAUAAAGGAUUUCGUGAAUUUUUCUUAGAUCUUACCACAGCUAGAACAAAGUCAGAUGAGCUUCCGAUUCUCGGUUCAGGCAGUGUGCCUAUUUCUUCAACAGUUCUUAUUUCACUGAACGGCGGAAAUUCACUUGGGUAAAAGUUGAACCUAACCGAUUUCGAAUUGAUAUGAUAAUAAAAAUACACCCCUUUCUAUCUCA